CUAAGCACACUGUUGGUUAUGUGUGCCCAAGCAUUGAGGCAGUCAAAGUAGGCAAAUCCGCUUUGAUAAUGCUGGGAUGUGAUGGGGAGCGAAAUUUAGUAGCGAAGUAGCUGAUUUCACACUGUCAAGAAAAGUCUCUAUCGAGGUUAAAGGUACCCGUACCGCAAACCGACACAGGUGGGUGAGGAGAGUAUCCUAAGGCCAGCGAGAGAACUGUUGUUAAGGAACUCGGCAAAAUGACCCCGUAACUUAGGGAUAAGGGGUGCCACCAUCAGGUGGCCGCAGAGAAUAGGCCCAAGCGACUGUUUACCAAAAACAUAGGUUUCUGCUAAGUCGCAAGACGAUGUAUAGGAGCUGACGCCUGCCCGGUGCUGGAAGGUUAAGGGGAUCUGUUAGAGCAAUCGAAGCAGUGAACUUAAGCCCCAGUAAACGGCGGCCGUAACUAUAACGGUCCUAAGGUAGCGAAAUUCCUUGUCGGGUAAGUUCCGACCCGCACGAAAGGCGUAACGAUUUGGGCACUGUCUCAACAACAGACUCGGUGAAAUUGUAAUUCCGGUGAAGAUGCCGGAUACCUGCGACAGGACGGAAAGACCCCAUGGAGCUUUACUGUAGCUUGACAUUGGGUCUUGGUACUACAUGUACAGGAUAGGUGGGAGGCUUUGAAACCAGGACGCCAGUUUUGGCGGAGCCAUCCUUGGGAUACCACCCUUGUAGUACUGGGACUCUAACCAUAGGCCAUGAAUCUGGUCUUGGGACACUGUCAGGUGGGCAGUUUGACUGGGGCGGUCGCCUCCCAAAAGGUAACGGAGGCGCUCAAAGGUUCUCUCAGUACGGUCGGAAAUCGUACGUAGAGUGUAAAGGCAAAAGAGAGCUUGAUUGCAAGACAUACAGGUCGAGCAAGGAUGAAAAUCGGACUUAGUGAUCCGGUGGUUCUGCGUGGAAGGGCCAUCGCUCAACGGAUAAAAGCUACCCUGGGGAUAACAGGCUUAUCUCCCCCAAGAGUCCACAUCGACGGGGAGGUUUGGCACCUCGAUGUCGGCUCAUCACAUCCUGGGGCUGUAGUAGGUCCCAAGGGUUGGGCUGUUCGCCCAUUAAAGUGGUACGCGAGCUGGGUUCAGAACGUCGUGAGACAGUUCGGUCCCUAUCCGUCGCAGGC
Molecule: ribosomal RNA, 1156 nt
Filed under: Clostridioides difficile
Lineage: Bacteria; Bacillati; Bacillota; Clostridia; Peptostreptococcales; Peptostreptococcaceae
Description: partial 23S ribosomal RNA
Rfam family: Bacterial large subunit ribosomal RNA
Source: RNAcentral